GGGGAAUUUUGGACAAUGGGCGCAAGCCUGAUCCAGCCAUUCCGCGUGCAGGAUGAAGGCCCUCGGGUUGUAAACCGCUUUUGUCAGGGAAGAAACGGUCUGGGUUAAUACCUUGGACUAAUGACGGUACCUGAAGAAUAAGCACCGGCUAACUACGUGCCAGCAGCCGCGGUAAUACGUAGGGUGCAAGCGUUAAUCGGAAUUACUGGGCGUAAAGCGUGCGCAGGCGGCUUUGCAAGACAGAUGUGAAAUCCCCGGGCUCAACCUGGGAACUGCAUUUGUGACUGCAUCGCUCGAGUGCGGCAGAGGGGGAUGGAAUUCCGCGUGUAGCAGUGAAAUGCGUAGAUAUGCGGAGGAACACCGAUGGCGAAGGCAAUCCCCUGGGCCUGCACUGACGCUCAUGCACGAAAGCGUGGGGAGCAAA
Molecule: ribosomal RNA, 424 nt
Filed under: uncultured bacterium
Lineage: Bacteria
Description: bacterial SSU rRNA
Rfam family: Bacterial small subunit ribosomal RNA
Source: RNAcentral